This 579-nucleotide unclassified non-coding RNA is filed under the name Zea mays. Its description in RNAcentral is "misc RNA Zm00001eb007210". Lineage: Eukaryota; Viridiplantae; Streptophyta; Magnoliopsida; Poales; Poaceae. The record is from RNAcentral.
AGUGCCUCGCCCUUUCUCCGCAACUCCACCCCAGGCAGCCCUCACCCCCUCACCGCCGCGGCCACCUGCGUCCGCCCGUCCCGACCUCCGUCCUCCGCCUCCGGCACCGUCGCGGCCCCCUGAACGCAGUCCGAUUCCAGCCUCCGCCAGCCCGCCCACCAGCCACCGGCUUCCGGCCUCCGCCCGCCGGCGGCGGCCUCUGCUCUCCGCCCACCUGGCCACCUCCGCAUCCGGCCUCAGCCUCCGGUGUCCGGUGUCCGCCCCCGCAGUGGGCGUGCCGCACUGGGCUGAGGAAGAACAGCUUCCGGUUCCUGCUGCUGAUCUUGAACGGCGCGGCGCUCAGGUCGGAGGAGGCCUGCCGACGAGACUGAGGUAGCAGAAGGAGCCAUACCAAAAAGAGAAUCUUCCUCCGCCACUGUCGACUCCCAUCUGCGAGGGUAGCUUCGCGCCGAGGCGUCAGUGGCGCGAUGAACGUCCCUGUAGUCGGUGAGUUCUCGAUGCGAUUCGUGUGGAUUUUCGUCGUUCGGGGUUGGAAAACGUGUCUAUCGGGUAGAAUUCCGGAGAAAUCUGGUGGCCGUG